RNAcentral lists this ribosomal RNA (2918 nucleotides) under Klebsiella pneumoniae. RNAcentral's name for it is "23S ribosomal RNA". It matches the Rfam family "Bacterial large subunit ribosomal RNA". Lineage: Bacteria; Pseudomonadati; Pseudomonadota; Gammaproteobacteria; Enterobacterales; Enterobacteriaceae. The record is from RNAcentral.
GGGUUGUGAGGUUAAGCGACUAAGCGUACACGGUGGAUGCCCUGGCAGUCAGAGGCGAUGAAGGACGUGCUAAUCUGCGAAAAGCGUCGGUAAGGUGAUAUGAACCGUUAUAGCCGGCGAUGUCCGAAUGGGGAAACCCAGUGUGAUUCGUCACACUAUCGUUAACUGAAUACAUAGGUUAACGAGGCGAACCGGGGGAACUGAAACAUCUAAGUACCCCGAGGAAAAGAAAUCAACCGAGAUUCCCCCAGUAGCGGCGAGCGAACGGGGAGCAGCCCAGAGUCUGAAUCAGCUUGUGUGUUAGUGGAACGGUCUGGAAAGUCCGACGGUACAGGGUGAUAGUCCCGUACACCAAAAUGCACAGGUUGUGAACUCGAAGAGUAGGGCGGGACACGUGGUAUCCUGUCUGAAUAUGGGGGGACCAUCCUCCAAGGCUAAAUACUCCUGACUGACCGAUAGUGAACCAGUACCGUGAGGGAAAGGCGAAAAGAACCCCGGCGAGGGGAGUGAAAAAGAACCUGAAACCGUGUACGUACAAGCAGUGGGAGCACCUUCGGGUGUGACUGCGUACCUUUGUAUAAUGGGUCAGCGACUUAUAUUCUGUAGCAAGGUUAACCGUAUAGGGAGCCGCAGGGAAACCGAGUCUUAACUGGGCGUUAAGUUGCAGGGUAUAGACCCGAAACCCGGUGAUCUAGCCAUGGGCAGGUUGAAGGUUGGGUAACACUAACUGGAGGACCGAACCGACUAAUGUUGAAAAAUUAGCGGAUGACUUGUGGCUGGGGUGAAAGGCCAAUCAAACCGGGAGAUAGCUGGUUCUCCCGAAAGCUAUUUAGGUAGCGCCUCGUGAAUUCAUCUUCGGGGGUAGAGCACUGUUUCGGCUAGGGGGUCAUCCCGACUUACCAACCCGAUGCAAACUACGAAUACCGAAGAAUGUUAUCACGGGAGACACACGGCGGGUGCUAACGUCCGUCGUGAAGAGGGAAACAACCCAGACCGCCAGCUAAGGUCCCAAAGUCAUGGUUAAGUGGGAAACGAUGUGGGAAGGCACAGACAGCCAGGAUGUUGGCUUAGAAGCAGCCAUCAUUUAAAGAAAGCGUAAUAGCUCACUGGUCGAGUCGGCCUGCGCGGAAGAUGUAACGGGGCUAAACCAUGCACCGAAGCUGCGGCAGCGACACUAUGUGUUGUUGGGUAGGGGAGCGUUCUGUAAGCCUGCGAAGGUGUGCUGUGAGGCAUGCUGGAGGUAUCAGAAGUGCGAAUGCUGACAUAAGUAACGAUAAAGCGGGUGAAAAGCCCGCUCGCCGGAAGACCAAGGGUUCCUGUCCAACGUUAAUCGGGGCAGGGUGAGUCGACCCCCUAAGGCGAGGCCGAAAGGCGUAGUCGAUGGGAAACAGGUUAAUAUUCCUGUACUUGGUGUUACUGCGAAGGGGGGACGGAGAAGGCUAUGUUAGCCGGGCGACGGUUGUCCCGGUUUAAGCAUGUAGGCUGGUUAUCCAGGCAAAUCCGGAUAAUCAAGGCUGAGGUGUGAUGACGAGGCACUACGGUGCUGAAGUAACAAAUGCCCUGCUUCCAUGAAAAGCCUCUAAGCAUCAGGUAACAUCAAAUCGUACCCCAAACCGACACAGGUGGUCAGGUAGAGAAUACCAAGGCGCUUGAGAGAACUCGGGUGAAGGAACUAGGCAAAAUGGUGCCGUAACUUCGGGAGAAGGCACGCUGGUGUGUAGGUGAAGUCCCUGCGGAUGGAGCUGAGACCAGUCGAAGAUACCAGCUGGCUGCAACUGUUUAUUAAAAACACAGCACUGUGCAAACACGAAAGUGGACGUAUACGGUGUGACGCCUGCCCGGUGCCGGAAGGUUAAUUGAUGGGGUUAUCCGUAAGGAGAAGCUCUUGAUCGAAGCCCGGUAAACGGCGGCCGUAACUAUAACGGUCCUAAGGUAGCGAAAUUCCUUGUCGGGUAAGUUCCGACCUGCACGAAUGGCGUAAUGAUGGCCAGGCUGUCUCCACCCGAGACUCAGUGAAAUUGAACUCGCUGUGAAGAUGCAGUGUACCCGCGGCAAGACGGAAAGACCCCGUGAACCUUUACUAUAGCUUGACACUGAACAUUGAGCCUUGAUGUGUAGGAUAGGUGGGAGGCUUUGAAGCGUGGACGCCAGUCUGCGUGGAGCCAACCUUGAAAUACCACCCUUUAAUGUUUGAUGUUCUAACGUUGGCCCCUGACCGGGGUUGCGGACAGUGUCUGGUGGGUAGUUUGACUGGGGCGGUCUCCUCCCAAAGCGUAACGGAGGAGCACGAAGGUUAGCUAAUCUGGUCGGACAUCAGGAGGUUAGUGCAAUGGCAUAAGCUAGCUUGACUGCGAGCGUGACGGCGCGAGCAGGUGCGAAAGCAGGUCAUAGUGAUCCGGUGGUUCUGAAUGGAAGGGCCAUCGCUCAACGGAUAAAAGGUACUCCGGGGAUAACAGGCUGAUACCGCCCAAGAGUUCAUAUCGACGGCGGUGUUUGGCACCUCGAUGUCGGCUCAUCACAUCCUGGGGCUGAAGUAGGUCCCAAGGGUAUGGCUGUUCGCCAUUUAAAGUGGUACGCGAGCUGGGUUUAGAACGUCGUGAGACAGUUCGGUCCCUAUCUGCCGUGGGCGCUGGAGAAUUGAGGGGGGCUGCUCCUAGUACGAGAGGACCGGAGUGGACGCAUCACUGGUGUUCGGGUUGUCAUGCCAAUGGCACUGCCCGGUAGCUAAAUGCGGAAGAGAUAAGUGCUGAAAGCAUCUAAGCACGAAACUUGCCCCGAGAUGAGUUCUCCCUGAGACUUUAAGUCUCCUGAAGGAACGUUGAAGACGACGACGUUGAUAGGCCGGGUGUGUAAGCGCAGCGAUGCGUUGAGCUAACCGGUACUAAUGAACCGUGAGGCUUAACCUUACAACGCCGAAG